CCUACGGGAGGCAGCAGUGGGGAAUAUUGGGCAAUGGGCGCAAGCCUGACCCAGCAACGCCGCGUGAAGGAAGAAGGCUCUCGGGUUGUAAACUUCUUUUUAGAGGGAAGAGAAGACGACGGUACCUCUUGAAUAAGCCACGGCUAACUACGUGCCAGCAGCCGCGGUAAUCCGGAGGAUGCGAGCGUUAGCCGGAUUUAUUGGGUUUAAAGGGUGCGUAGGCGGAUUUUUAAGUCAGCGGUAAAAUGUCCGGGCUCAACCCGGGCCGGCCGUUGAAACUGGGGAUCUUGAGUGGGCGAGAGGUAUGCGGAAUGCGUGGUGUAGCGGUGAAAUGCAUAGAUAUCACGCAGAACUCCGAUUGCGAAGGCAGCAUACCGGCGCCCGACUGACGCUGAGGCACGAAAGCGUGGGGAUCGAACAGGAUUAGAUACCCCUGUAGUC
RNAcentral lists this ribosomal RNA (441 nucleotides) under uncultured bacterium. RNAcentral describes it as "partial 16S ribosomal RNA". It matches the Rfam family "Bacterial small subunit ribosomal RNA", at positions 338 to 795 of the family's 1533-position model. The record is from RNAcentral.